RNAcentral lists this ribosomal RNA (253 nucleotides) under uncultured bacterium. RNAcentral describes it as "partial 16S ribosomal RNA". It matches the Rfam family "Bacterial small subunit ribosomal RNA", at positions 524 to 776 of the family's 1533-position model. The record is from RNAcentral.
UACAGGGGGUGCAAACGUUGCUCGGAAUCAUUGGGCGUAAAGCGCACGUAGGCGGCUUUUUAAGUCAGGGGUGAAAUCCCGGGGCUCAACCCCGGAACUGCCCUUGAAACUGGAGAGCUAGAAUCUUGGAGAGGCGAGUGGAAUUCCGAGUGUAGAGGUGAAAUUCGUAGAUAUUCGGAAGAACACCAGUGGCGAAGGCGACUCGCUGGACAAGUAUUGACGCUGAGGUGCGAAAGCGUGGGGAGCGAACAGG